Molecule: ribosomal RNA, 2914 nt
Filed under: Campylobacter concisus
Lineage: Bacteria; Pseudomonadati; Campylobacterota; Epsilonproteobacteria; Campylobacterales; Campylobacteraceae
Description: bacterial LSU rRNA
Rfam family: Bacterial large subunit ribosomal RNA
Source: RNAcentral
GUAAGCUACAAAGAGCAAGUGGUGGAUGCCUUGGCUAGUAGAGGCGAUGAAAGACGUGCCAGGCUGCGAUAAGUCUCGGGGAGCCGUCAAGGGGCUUUGAUCCGGGAAUUUCUGAAUGGGGCAACCCAACUAAUAGAGAUAUUAGUUACCGUAUAACGGAGCGAACGAGGGGAAUUGAAACAUCUUAGUACCCUCAGGAAAAGAAAUCAAAAGAGAUUACGCUAGUAGCGGCGAGCGAACGCGUAAGAGGGCAAACCGUUAGUUUACUAACGGGGUUGUAGGACUGCAAUAUAGACUAAACUUAGCUAAUAGAAUAAUCUGGAAAGAUUAAGCAUAGAGGGUGAUACUCCCGUAUAUGAAAGCUUUGUUUUACUUAGCAGUAUCCUGAGUAGGGCGGAACACGUGAUAUUCUGUCUGAAGCUGGGUAGACCACUAUCCAACCCUAAAUACUACUACUAGACCGAUAGUGUACAAGUACCGUGAGGGAAAGGUGAAAAGAACUGAGGUGAUCAGAGUGAAAUAGAACCUGAAACCAUUUGCUUACAAUCAUUCAGAGCCCUAUGAUUUAUCAGGGUGAUGGACUGCCUUUUGCAUAAUGAGCCUGCGAGUUGUGAUGUCUGGCAAGGUUAAGGAAACCCGGAGCCGUAGCGAAAGCGAGUCUUAAUAGGGCGUUUAGUCAGACGUUGCAGACCCGAAACGAUGUGAUCUAUCCAUGAGCAGGUUGAAACCGGUGUAAGAGCCGGUGGAGGACCGAACCCGCUAGCGUUGAAAAGCUAUGGGAUGACUUGUGGAUAGGGGUGAAAGGCCAAUCAAACAUCGUGAUAGCUGGUUCUCUCCGAAAUAUAUUUAGGUAUAGCGUCAUGUAGUAACACUAGGGGGUAGAGCACUGAAUGGGCUAGGGCAUACACCAAUGUACCAAACCCUAUCAAACUCCGAAUACCUAGUGUGUAAUCAUGGCAGUCAGGCGGCGAGUGAUAAAAUCCGUCGUCGAGAGGGGAACAACCCAGACUAACAGCUAAGGUCCCUAAAUCUCAUUUAAGUGGAAAACGAUGUGGAGUUACUUAAACAACCAGGAGGUUGGCUUAGAAGCAGCCAUCCUUUAAAGAAAGCGUAAUAGCUCACUGGUCUAGUGAUUCUGCGCGGAAAAUAUAACGGGGCUAAAAUGAGUACCGAAGCUUUAGACUUAGUUUUACUAAGUGGUAGGAGAGCGUUGUAUUUGCGUUGAAGGUAUACCGGUAAGGAGUGCUGGAGCGAAUACAAGUGAGCAUGCAGGCAUGAGUAGCGAUAAUUGGGGUGAGAAUCCCCAACGCCGUAAACCCAAGGUUUCCUACGCGAUGCUCGUCAUCGUAGGGUUAGCCGGGUCCUAAGCAAAGUCCGAAAGGGGUAUGCGAUGGAAAAUUGGUUAAUAUUCCAAUGCCAACUAUAAUGUGCGAUGGAAGGACGCUUAGAGUUAAGCAAGCUAGCGGAUGGUAGUGCUAGUCGAAAGGUGUAGGUUAAGAUCCAGGCAAAUCCGGAUCUUUUUAAGCCGAGACCCCACAGGCGUUUGAAGUUCUUCGGAAUGGAUAGCGAAUUGCCGAUACUGUCGAGCCAAGAAAAGUUUCUAAGUUUAGUUAUAGUUGCCCGUACCGUAAACCGACACAGGUGGGUGGGAUGAGUAUUCUAAGGCGCGUGGAAGAACUCUCUUCAAGGAACUCUGCAAAAUAGCACCGUAUCUUCGGUAUAAGGUGUGCCUAACUUUGUGAAGGAUUUACUCCGUAAGCAUUGAAGGUUACAACAAAGAGUCCCUCCCGACUGUUUACCAAAAACACAGCACUCUGCUAACUCGUAAGAGGAUGUAUAGGGUGUGACGCCUGCCCGGUGCUCGAAGGUUAAUUGAUGACGUUAGCUCUGCGAAGCGUUUGAUCGAAGCCCGAGUAAACGGCGGCCGUAACUAUAACGGUCCUAAGGUAGCGAAAUUCCUUGUCGAUUAAAUAUCGACCUGCAUGAAUGGCGUAACGAGAUGGGAGCUGUCUCGAAGAGGGAUCCAGUGAAAUUGUAGUGGAGGUGAAAAUUCCUCCUACCCGCGGCAAGACGGAAAGACCCCGUGGACCUUUACUACAGCUUGACACUGCUAUUGGGAUAAAAAUGUGCAGGAUAGGUGGGAGGCUUUGAUCCAUAGACGCCAGUUUAUGGUGAGCCGUUGUUGAGAUACCACUCUUUUUUAUUCUGAUAGCUAACUAGCUUGAGUUAUCCUCAAGUAGGACAAUGUCUGGUGGGUAGUUUGACUGGGGCGGUCGCCUCCCAAAAUGUAACGGAGGCUUACAAAGGUUGGCUCAGAACGGUUGGAAAUCGUUCAUAGAGUAUAAAGGCAUAAGCCAGCUUAACUGCGAGACAUACACGUCAAGCAGAGACGAAAGUCGGUCUUAGUGAUCCGGUGGUUCUGUGUGGAAGGGCCAUCGCUCAAAGGAUAAAAGGUACCCCGGGGAUAACAGGCUGAUCUCCCCCCAAGAGCUCACAUCGACGGGGAGGUUUGGCACCUCGAUGUCGGCUCAUCGCAUCCUGGGGCUGGAGCAGGUCCCAAGGGUAUGGCUGUUCGCCAUUUAAAGCGGUACGCGAGCUGGGUUCAGAACGUCGUGAGACAGUUCGGUCCCUAUCUGCCGUGGGCGUAAGAAGAUUGAGGAGAGUUGACCCUAGUACGAGAGGACCGGGUCGAACCAACCACUGGUGUACGAGUUGUUCUGCCAAGAGCACCGCUCGGUAGCUAUGUUGGGAUGUGAUAACUGCUGAAAGCAUCUAAGCAGGAAGCCAACUCCAAGAUGAAUCUUCUUUUAAGAGCUCAUAUAGACUAUGUGUUUGAUAGGCUGGGUGUGUAAUGGAUGAAAGUCCUUUAGCUGACCAGUACUAAUAGCUCGUCUGCUUAUCUUUUAAUAAGCAU